This 427-nucleotide ribosomal RNA is filed under the name uncultured bacterium. RNAcentral's name for it is "bacterial SSU rRNA". It matches the Rfam family "Bacterial small subunit ribosomal RNA", at positions 28 to 450 of the family's 1533-position model. The record is from RNAcentral.
GACGAACGCUGGCGGCGCGCCUAACACAUGCAAGUCGAACGAGAGAUGAGGAGCUUGCUCUUCAAAUCGAGUGGCGAACGGGUGAGUAACGCGUGAGGAACCUGCCUCAAAGAGGGGGACAACAGUUGGAAACGACUGCUAAUACCGCAUAAGCCCACAGCUCGGCAUCGAGCAGAGGGAAAAGGAGCAAUCCGCUUUGAGAUGGCCUCGCGUCCGAUUAGCUAGUUGGUGAGGUAACGGCCCACCAAGGCGACGAUCGGUAGCCGGACUGAGAGGUUGAACGGCCACAUUGGGACUGAGACACGGCCCAGACUCCUACGGGAGGCAGCAGUGGGGAAUAUUGCACAAUGGGGGAAACCCUGAUGCAGCGACGCCGCGUGGAGGAAGAAGGUCUUCGGAUUGUAAACUCCUGUUGUUGAGGAAGAUA